Molecule: non-coding RNA, 374 nt
Organism: Caenorhabditis elegans
Lineage: Eukaryota; Metazoa; Nematoda; Chromadorea; Rhabditida; Rhabditidae
Source: Ensembl
AUUGGCACAAUUGUAGUCGUCAGUUAGGCAGCAGAAUCCGCAAGUUUUUGCACAAGAUGCAAUUGCAGCAGUCUUCAUGUCAGCCACAACAGCAGCUGGGGUAGCUGUGGCGGUUGUGUAGCAAGCAUAAGCUCUCUCAGCAUCAUUUCCAGCAGCUGGGUAUAGGGUGUCCGGGGCAGCAUAAAGAACCUGGCAAGAAGCAUCCGAGAUAGCGUUCGAGCAGGCAACCGCAGCCGGGGUGUAGACGAACUAGAAAGUAGGGAUUAUUAAAAGUUAGGGCUCUAGAGAUUGGCGGCAACCAAAUUUUGGGCCAUACGAUAAUUUGAUAAUUCAAAUUUUUUGACAAUUUGGGGAUUCUAAAAUUGCCGAGCUCA